AGCAGCCGCGGUAAUUCCAGCUCCAAUAGCGUAUAUUAAAGUUGUUGCAGUUAAAAAGCUCGUAGUUGAAUUUCGGGAUUAGUACGCUGGUCGUGCCUUCGGUACGUACUGGUGUUACUGAUUCCUACCUUCUGACGAACCAUCAUGUCAUUAAUUUGGUGUGGCGGGGAAUCAGGACUGUUACUUUGAAAAAAUUAGAGUGUUUAAAGCAGGCUCGCGCUUGAAUACAUUAGCAUGGAAUAAUGAAAUAGGACGUUGAUCCUAUUUUGUUGGUUUCUAGGAUUGACGUAAUGAUUAAUAGGGAUAGUUGGUGGCAUUAGUAUUCAAUUGUCAGAGGUGAAAUUCUUGGAUUUAUUGAAGACUAACUACUGCGAAAGCAUUUGCCAAGGAUGUUUUCAUUAAUCAAGAACGAAAGUUAGGGGAUCGAAGACGAUCAGAUACCGUCGUAGUCUUAACCAUAAACUAUGCCGACUAGGGAUCGGACGAUGUUAAUUUUUCUUGACUCGUUCGGCGCCUUACG
This 520-nucleotide ribosomal RNA is filed under the name uncultured Glomeraceae. Its description in RNAcentral is "SSU rRNA". It matches the Rfam family "Eukaryotic small subunit ribosomal RNA", at positions 569 to 1092 of the family's 1831-position model. The record is from RNAcentral. Lineage: Eukaryota; Fungi; Glomeromycota; Glomeromycetes; Glomerales; Glomeraceae.